UGCCCAAGGCCACUCUGAGAGAAAGUGAAAAAGCUGGUGGCGAAACCCAGGACUCUGGCUGCCUUUGAACCUCUAUGCUCCGAACCCCCCACCAGCCAUUCUGAGGGACCCUUUUCCGGCUGCCCAUGGUUACUGUGCAGCACUGAAGCCAUUCCUGUCUUUCUCUGGUGUUGGGCCGGUGGGAGGUCAGGGGGUGCCCAUGGAAGCUUCCAGUCCUGGAGAUGCUAAGUGGCGGAGCACCCUGACCCCGGCUUUAAAAAUAAGGAACCUAAAAUAGCCCUUCCUGCGCCUCGUCCUCGCUGGGGCCUUUGAUGCCGGCUGAUGGGGCUGGGCUGCCGUUUCAUGCAGCUCCUCUGGACAGGCCGUGCCGGGAACCUGGGCUGGAGGGCAGGCCCACCUCAGAGCCGUAGUGACGUCCUACUAAAAGCAAACGUUUGCUCCCGUCGGGAAGGGGGGAGUUGAUGGGCUUCGAACUUGGGCAUCAGGAAGCUUUGGCAGAGCUGCCCUGAGGAGAUGCUGGAAACGAAACAGGUCCUCCGAAGCGAAGAGUCCAGAGCCCAGUGCCUGACAGGUCCUUGGAAACGAAGAGUCCAGAGCCCAGUGCCUAGCUGCUCAGGAACGAAGGCCUCAUCCUCUAGAGAUGCCCAGCUUCAGUCUGUUGAGGGAAACCCACCUGAAGAAAGUCUCACUGGCAUGCUGAAGGCGAGCCUGCAGAGGGGUGAACAGACCUGGUCUUUGCGCAUCACGUGAGUC
Cervus elaphus (red deer) is the source of this 753-nucleotide long non-coding RNA. RefSeq lists it as uncharacterized. The record is from RefSeq and is a predicted model, not a curated record. NCBI's taxonomy places the organism in Eukaryota, Metazoa, Chordata, Mammalia, Artiodactyla, Cervidae. The transcript has 3 exons.